Molecule: microRNA precursor, 87 nt
Organism: Chlorocebus sabaeus (green monkey)
Lineage: Eukaryota; Metazoa; Chordata; Mammalia; Primates; Cercopithecidae
Source: Ensembl
GUGAGGCGGGGCCGGGAGGGGGUGUGGCGUGGGUGCUGCGGGGCCGUCAGGGCACCUGCGGGAGGCUCACCUGGCUGGCCCGCCCAG